UGGAGCUUGUAUCCGCACUACCCGCUCUCCCGGCUGUGACGAUCUCCACCAGCUUGUGAGUGAUUCACUGACAAAUGUACUUUCCCCAGUGAGGGGUAGUAUCAGUGGGGGUGGAGUGGAUUUGGCUGUGGGGGGUUUGUUGAGGGGAAUGUUUUCAGGAAUUUGAUAUUAAUUCAUAGUGAAAUCUCUGCUGGCAGAGCCGGUGUCUGAGCCGACGGUGGAGAUCAGCAGGAAUGCCUCCCACGUCACGCUGAACUGCUCGGCUCUCGGAACCGGACAGGUCACCUAUCGGUGGGAGAGGCAGACAGACGCUGCCGGUGGGAACGUCACCUUCCAUGGAGCCCUGCUGAUCCUGCAGAAUGAUGGGCUGAGUGGCCACACCUACAACUGCAUUGCUGAAAAUUGCUGCAGUCGGCAGAUCAGCCUCCCAGUCUCUGCAGACCUCAACCCAGCCAGCGAGUCCAGAAAUUAUUGGGCAAGUGUUCUCAGCUUUAUAGUCCUCUCAGUGGUUGUGAUGUUAAUCUUGGGUCAGCAUCUGCUCAGGAAAUCGGUACUGAUUGGUCAAGCGCAUCCAGAAACCGAGGGCCAGGAGAGUUCCAGUGAGGAUGAUGGUUCGGACUGUCCUCUCCGGAAGUCCCGAGGUUCCUCUGACCCUGUGUGACCUGGAACCGGGACGGUACUGAACAUGUCCCUCCCACCAGCUGCUGUCUCCACCGUGACCUCCACCCACCCAGCCCCUGAGCACAGGACGUCUGCACCUCACACUGUGGG
This is a long non-coding RNA of Hypanus sabinus (Atlantic stingray), 771 nucleotides long. RefSeq lists it as uncharacterized. The transcript has 3 exons. The record is from RefSeq and is a predicted model, not a curated record. Lineage: Eukaryota; Metazoa; Chordata; Chondrichthyes; Myliobatiformes; Dasyatidae.